GGACUGGGGUGGACGGACCUCUGGUGUGCGGGUUGUUCCGCCAGGAGCAAAAAGCCCGGUAGCUAUGUCCGGAAGGGAUAAGCGCUGAAAGCAUCUAAGCGCGAAACCCCCCUCAAGAUGAGGUCUCCCAUCCGCAAGGAGUAAGGUCGCGGGAAGACUACCCGCUUGAUAGGCGGCAUGUGUAAGUCCGGUAACGGAUUCAGCUGAGCCGUACUAAUGACCGAGGGCUUGACCACCA
Molecule: ribosomal RNA, 238 nt
Filed under: Chloroflexota bacterium
Lineage: Bacteria; Bacillati; Chloroflexota
Description: Chloroflexi bacterium partial 23S ribosomal RNA
Rfam family: Bacterial large subunit ribosomal RNA
Source: RNAcentral